Anolis carolinensis (green anole) is the source of this 77-nucleotide microRNA precursor. Lineage: Eukaryota; Metazoa; Chordata; Lepidosauria; Squamata; Anolidae. The record is from Ensembl.
GCUGAGGCGAAGCAGGGCUCAAAGGAGAAGCAGCGCCGGCCUCGUCUCGCUUCUCCUCAGAGCUCCGCCGCCUCUCC